UGCACUUUAGUGAAGGCCUGACUGUAAACCACUCUCUGGCAUGUCAGGCCUGAAGAUCCUGUGUA
Molecule: non-coding RNA, 65 nt
Organism: Danio rerio (zebrafish)
Lineage: Eukaryota; Metazoa; Chordata; Actinopteri; Cypriniformes; Danionidae
Source: Rfam